GUUCAAGUAGUUUAACCCUAAAACAUCAGUCUUGUAAACUGAAAAGUAGAGAUUUACCCCUCUCUUAAACA
Molecule: transfer RNA, 71 nt
Filed under: Schistometopum thomense
Lineage: Eukaryota; Metazoa; Chordata; Amphibia; Gymnophiona; Dermophiidae
Description: tRNA-Thr
Rfam family: tRNA
About the family: Transfer RNA (tRNA) molecules are approximately 80 nucleotides in length. Their secondary structure includes four short double-helical elements and three loops (D, anti-codon, and T loops).
Source: RNAcentral